Molecule: long non-coding RNA, 1043 nt
Organism: Sebastes umbrosus (honeycomb rockfish)
Lineage: Eukaryota; Metazoa; Chordata; Actinopteri; Perciformes; Sebastidae
Exons: 3
Source: RefSeq, a predicted model, not a curated record
UAUUGGGUGGUAAUUCAGCAGAGCAGAUACAAAAUUGAAGGCAAGUUUAUUUACUAGCUAACUAGUGUUUUUGAAUGAUAUCUGAAAACCACAUGUUCUAUAGAUCAGAUGGUCAGAAUAUUCAUAAUUGAUCAAAAAACGGUUUCUCAACCAGUAAUGCACACCACUCAACACAAUUCAUUUCAAACAUUGACUAAAAAUCCAUGAAGUUGACUGAGGAAAAUUCUUUCUAAGUUUCAGGUGAAACAGCAGGAAGCUAUUGGCGCUGGAUGGUCAGCCUUGAGGGCCACUUCAUAUGUGAGGGGAUCCAGCCCACCUUCUUGAUGGGGCUUGCUGCAUUAUUUUCCACCUUCUACACCUGCACGCUCAAAUUAAUCUCAAGGUGCACCGUAGGAAUAAACCCUGAGAGAGGCACCAAGGAUGGACAGGGCAAAGUCUUCUCAAAGAAAACUGGCAAAUUCACGAGCUACAAGACAAGACUACAACCGUAUAUCCACAUGUAUCCACUCUGCUGAUGGGACUCAUGGACUUGAGUGGGACUUCAUUUAAAAUGUCAGCGGGCUACCAAGGCUGGAUUGAGAGUACUGGUGUCUUUGAGUGGGCCAUAAGUCAUUCGCUAACUCACUCCCCCAUUAUCGCCCAAUACUUGGACUUCCACACUUAUCCAUGUGCCUUGUUAGAGCCUGAAUAUUCAUACUUGGACAUGAUGUCACAUGUCUGGUGGUGUUGGUGCUCAUUAGUAUAUAGACAAAUUAUUUUGUAUUUAAUGUUAAUUUUUUUUUUAAAUUUGUACCACUGAUAUGCCUUAAGGCUCAGCAAUAUAUUCAGUAUAUUCACAUGUUACAUGAUAUAAGGCAAAAUAUUAUUUGAGAGUUUUGUUUUAACUCUAUGAUAUAGCUCAACUCUCUGUAACUGUUCCACAAAGUAAGGUUAGUAAGAUUGACAGAUGUCUUCAGAAAUGCUAUUUCUUCUGAAAUUUGGUUUGUUAUCUGUGUCAGGUUUUUGUUGGCGCUGUGUUGAACUUCAUAUGAAAAUAAAAAAUA